UACGUAGGAUGCAAGCGUUGUCCGGAUUUACUGGGCGUAAAGCGCGCGCAGGCGGCAGUGUAAGUAAGGUGUGAAAUAUCCCGGCUCAACCGGGAGGGUGCACUUUAGACUACACAGCUUGAGGUCGGUAGAGGGGGGUAGAAUUGCUGGUGUAGCGGUGAAAUGCGUAGAGAUGCGGAGGAACACCGAUGGCGAAGGCAGCCCCCUGGGCUAACACUGACGCUGAGGCACGAAAGCGUGGGGGAGCAAACAGGG
RNAcentral lists this ribosomal RNA (255 nucleotides) under uncultured bacterium. Its description in RNAcentral is "partial 16S ribosomal RNA". It matches the Rfam family "Bacterial small subunit ribosomal RNA", at positions 524 to 777 of the family's 1533-position model. The record is from RNAcentral.